RNAcentral lists this transfer RNA (72 nucleotides) under Actinomadura viridis. RNAcentral's name for it is "tRNA-OTHER". The record is from RNAcentral. Lineage: Bacteria; Bacillati; Actinomycetota; Actinomycetes; Streptosporangiales; Thermomonosporaceae.
GCGGGUGGAUCGGGGCGGACUGGACUGAUUCCCAAGCUGACAGCGCGGGUUCGAUUCCCGUCACCCGCUCCA